This 425-nucleotide unclassified non-coding RNA is filed under the name Hevea brasiliensis (rubber tree). The record is from RNAcentral. Lineage: Eukaryota; Viridiplantae; Streptophyta; Magnoliopsida; Malpighiales; Euphorbiaceae.
AGAAGGUGAAGUUGUCAUAUCUUUUUGGUUCAAAGUUCAGUUUUUUACUUGUUGAUUAUAUUGAGGCUGAUUAGUAGGGUGAGCAUUAAAUAUCCGACUCCAUUUUACAUGGACUUCUCUCUCUUUUAGCUUUCUCCUUGUAGAUGUCUAAAGCUGUUUUCCUAUGCUACCACAUGGGUCAUUUCCUAUAGGGGAAUGCUGCCUCCCUCUCCCCCCUGCAGGCCCCCUUUCCUCUCUUCUCCCUCUUUUUUACUCGUCCCUUUUUGUACAAGUGGAUCUAGAUUAUUGUCCAUCUUCUCUGAUCCUUGUUAUUUUUUCAUGCUUGUGUUGAGUAAUUCUCCUGUGUCUCCACCUUUUGGGGGACGAGCACUCCAUUGGGAGCAUAAAAUAUAUCCUUGUAGAUUUUUUUUUUUGGUUGGGAGCUG